CAGUCGCCGCGGUAAUACGAAGGGGGCUAGCGUUGCUCGGAAUUACUGGGCGUAAAGCGUGCGUAGGCGGUGAGUUAAGUCUGCUGUGAAAUCCCCGGGCUCAACCUGGGAAUGGCAGUGGAUACUGGCUCGCUAGAGUGUGUCAGAGGAUGGUGGAAUUCCCGGUGUAGCGGUGAAAUGCGUAGAGAUCGGGAGGAACAUCAGUGGCGAAGGCGGCCAUCUGGGACAACACUGACGCUGAGGCACGAAAGCGUGGGGAGCAAACAGGAUUAGAUACCCCAGUAGUCCCUGUCUCUUAUAC
Molecule: ribosomal RNA, 301 nt
Filed under: uncultured bacterium
Lineage: Bacteria
Description: partial 16S ribosomal RNA
Rfam family: Bacterial small subunit ribosomal RNA
Source: RNAcentral